GCCCUUGUAGUAUAAACUAAUACGCUAGUCUUGUAAACUAGAAAUGAGACUUACAGCCCCUAGGACA
This 67-nucleotide transfer RNA is filed under the name Chlorocebus aethiops x Chlorocebus pygerythrus. RNAcentral's name for it is "tRNA-Thr". It matches the Rfam family "tRNA". From Rfam's summary of the family: Transfer RNA (tRNA) molecules are approximately 80 nucleotides in length. Lineage: Eukaryota; Metazoa; Chordata; Mammalia; Primates; Cercopithecidae. The record is from RNAcentral.